AGGCAAUGGCGCAAUAGAGUGAUUAUUGGAAGAAUCGAACCGCUCAUGCAUGAGAACCGGAAGCGCCGAUUACUAAGGGGAAAAGUGGACGAUUUUAAGUGGACAUUUCAGUGCAAACUCCAUUUCAAACUUAUUUGGAAGAUUGUUGUGUAGAAAUGGAGGGAGGGGGAGAGGAUAGGCGGGCACAAUGUGUAGCUACAGCGCAUACUGCUAUGGAAUGUUGAAUGACUCGUGUAGUCCUGGACUCUUGUCAGGAGACGGAAUGGAAGUGGCAGAUACCUGAGCUGAUUCCAGACCAACUGGACAGGACAUAUUACAAGUUUACACACACAAGCUUACAACAUGUCUCUGCAUCAUAUUACAUACACAUGUCACAGAUGAUAAUCUCCCUCUCCUUCACUCCUAGUGAGGGUGGCAGCUCAGUGUCUUCCCCAGCCCAGUCUAGUGACCAUCGUCCUCUGCACUCAGCCAGCCUAAACAGACAGGUGGCGAAUCGCAUCUCUGCAUGUCUGGCAGACAUAUCAGUG
Molecule: long non-coding RNA, 527 nt
Organism: Coregonus clupeaformis (lake whitefish)
Lineage: Eukaryota; Metazoa; Chordata; Actinopteri; Salmoniformes; Salmonidae
Exons: 3
Source: RefSeq, a predicted model, not a curated record